RNAcentral lists this unclassified non-coding RNA (273 nucleotides) under Peniophora laxitexta. RNAcentral describes it as "partial internal transcribed spacer region". The stretch from base 1 to 46 matches the Rfam family "Eukaryotic small subunit ribosomal RNA", at positions 1786 to 1831 of the family's 1831-position model. Lineage: Eukaryota; Fungi; Basidiomycota; Agaricomycetes; Russulales; Peniophoraceae. The record is from RNAcentral.
AAGUCGUAACAAGGUUUCCGUAGGUGAACCUGCGGAAGGAUCAUUAGCGAAGUUCGGAAUGCCGGUUCGGUGCUGCAGCUGCCCAGUGAUGGGAUGUGCUCGUCCGGGCCGGUGUCCCUUCUCUAUUCCACCCCACUGUGAACCAAGCGUGCGAGCAGAAGAGAGAUCGGAAGCUCGCAUGCACACUUUAACAUACCCCUUAUUGAAGUAUCUGAAUGUACCUUGCGUUAACUCGCACAAAUACAACUUUCAACAACGGAUCUCUUGGCUCUC